Triticum aestivum (bread wheat) is the source of this 126-nucleotide non-coding RNA. NCBI's taxonomy places the organism in Eukaryota, Viridiplantae, Streptophyta, Magnoliopsida, Poales, Poaceae. The record is from Rfam.
CUACUACUCCCUCCGUCCGAAAAAGCUUGUCUUUUGAAUGGAUGUAUCUAGCACCAAGUUAAUGCUAGAUACAUCCAUUUGAGGGACAAGCUUGGGACAGGCUUUUUCGGACGGAGGGAGUACCAA